RNAcentral lists this ribosomal RNA (376 nucleotides) under uncultured organism. Its description in RNAcentral is "partial 16S ribosomal RNA". It matches the Rfam family "Bacterial small subunit ribosomal RNA", at positions 527 to 896 of the family's 1533-position model. The record is from RNAcentral.
GUAGGGUGCGAGCGUUAUCCGGGAAUCAUUGGGCGUAAAGAGCUCGUAGGCGGUUCAGCAAGUCGGCUGUGAAAUUCCGAGGGCUCAACCUCGGAACUGCAGUCGAUACUGUUGUGACUCGAGUCCGGUAGAGGAGAAUGGAAUUCCCGGUGUAGCGGUGAAAUGCGCAGAUAUCGGGAGGAACACCAGUAGCGAAGGCGGUUCUCUGGGCCGGCACUGACGCUGAGGAGCGAAAGCGUGGGUAGCAAACAGGAUUAGAUACCCUGGUAGUCCACGCCGUAAACGUUGGAUACUAGGUGUGGCGUUCCGACCAACGGUCGCCGUGCCGAAGCUAACGCAUUAAGUAUCACGCCUGGGGAGUACGGCCGCAAGGCUA